UGGGGAAUAUUGGACAAUGGGCGCAAGCCUGAUCCAGCCAUGCCGCGUGAGUGAUGAAGGCCCUAAGGUUGUAAAGCUCUUUCACCGGUGAAGAUAAUGACGGUAACCGGAGAAGAAGCCCCGGCUAACUUCGUGCCAGCAGCCGCGGUAAUACGAAGGGGGCUAGCGUUGUUCGGAUUUACUGGGCGUAAAGCGCACGUAGGCGGACUAUUAAGUCAGGGGUGAAAUCCCGGGGCUCAACCCCGGAACUGCCUUUGAUACUGGUAGUCUUGAGUUCGAGAGAGGUGAGUGGAAUUCCGAGUGUAGAGGUGAAAUUCGUAGAUAUUCGGAGGAACACCAGUGGCGAAGGCGGCUCACUGGCUCGAUACUGACGCUGAGGUGCGAAAGCGUGGGGAGCAAACAGG
Molecule: ribosomal RNA, 404 nt
Filed under: Actinomycetes bacterium
Lineage: Bacteria; Bacillati; Actinomycetota; Actinomycetes
Description: Actinobacteria bacterium partial 16S ribosomal RNA
Rfam family: Bacterial small subunit ribosomal RNA
Source: RNAcentral